Molecule: small RNA, 28 nt
Filed under: Bombyx mori (domestic silkworm)
Lineage: Eukaryota; Metazoa; Arthropoda; Insecta; Lepidoptera; Bombycidae
Description: piRNA piR-bmo-2191501
Source: RNAcentral
UUCCUGGGGUGUACUCGAAUCUGAUGUC